RNAcentral lists this ribosomal RNA (467 nucleotides) under uncultured bacterium. RNAcentral describes it as "partial 16S ribosomal RNA". It matches the Rfam family "Bacterial small subunit ribosomal RNA", at positions 355 to 841 of the family's 1533-position model. The record is from RNAcentral.
UGGGGAAUAUUGGACAAUGGGGGCAACCCUGAUCCAGCAAUGCCGCGUGUGUGAAGAAGGUCUUCGGAUUGUAAAGCACUUUCGACGGGGACGAUGAUGACGGUACCCGUAGAAGAAGCCCCGGCUAACUUCGUGCCAGCAGCCGCGGUAAUACGAAGGGGGCUAGCGUUGCUCGGAAUGACUGGGCGUAAAGGGCGUGUAGGCGGUUUACACANUCNGAUGUGAAAUCCCCGGGCUUAACCUGGGAGCUGCAUUUGAUACGUGUAGACUAGAGUGUGAGAGAGGGUUGUGGAAUUCCCAGUGUANAGGUGAAAUUCGUAGAUAUUGGGAAGAACACCGGUGGCGAAGGCGGCACUGGCUCAUGACUGACGCUGAGGCGCGAAAGCGUGGGGAGCAAACAGGAUUAGAUACCCUGGUAGUCCACGCUGUAAACGAUGUGUGCUAGAUGUUGGGUAACUUUGUUAUUC